RNAcentral lists this ribosomal RNA (327 nucleotides) under uncultured eukaryote. RNAcentral's name for it is "partial 18S ribosomal RNA". It matches the Rfam family "Eukaryotic small subunit ribosomal RNA", at positions 1470 to 1796 of the family's 1831-position model. The record is from RNAcentral.
CCCUUAGAUGUUCUGGGCUGCACGCGCGCUACACUGACAUGUCCAGCGAGCUCCCAACCUGCUCGGCAAAGAAUGGGUACCCUUUUUAACGCAUGUCGUGAUGGGAUAGAUUAUUGCAAUUGUUGAUCCUGAACGAGGAAUUCCUAGUAAGUGCAAGUCAUUAGCUUGUGCUGAAUACGUCCCUGCCCUUUGUACACACCGCCCGUCGCACCUACCGAUUGGAUGGUCCGGUGAAGCCUCGGGAUUGUGGUUCUUGCCGCUUUAUUGUGGCGUGACCGCGAGAACUUGUCUAAACCUUAUCAUCUAGAGGAAGGUGAAGUCGUAACA